This 88-nucleotide transfer RNA is filed under the name Pyrularia edulis. RNAcentral's name for it is "tRNA-Ser". It matches the Rfam family "tRNA". Rfam says of the family: Transfer RNA (tRNA) molecules are approximately 80 nucleotides in length. Their secondary structure includes four short double-helical elements and three loops (D, anti-codon, and T loops). Further hydrogen bonds mediate the characteristic L-shaped molecular structure. tRNAs have two regions of fundamental functional importance: the anti-codon, which is responsible for specific mRNA codon recognition, and the 3' end, to which the tRNAs corresponding amino acid is attached (by aminoacyl-tRNA synthetases). tRNAs cope with the degeneracy of the genetic code in two manners: having more than one tRNA (with a specific anti-codon) for a particular amino acid; and 'wobble' base-pairing, i.e. permitting non-standard base-pairing at the 3rd anti-codon position. Lineage: Eukaryota; Viridiplantae; Streptophyta; Magnoliopsida; Santalales; Cervantesiaceae. The record is from RNAcentral.
GGAGAGAUGGCUGAGUGGACUAAAGCGGUGGAUUGCUAAUCCGCUGUGCGAGUUGUUCGUACCGAGGGUUCGAAUCCCUCUCUUUCCC